This 253-nucleotide ribosomal RNA is filed under the name uncultured bacterium. RNAcentral describes it as "partial 16S ribosomal RNA". It matches the Rfam family "Bacterial small subunit ribosomal RNA", at positions 524 to 776 of the family's 1533-position model. The record is from RNAcentral.
UACAGAGGGUGCGAGCGUUAAUCGGAAUUACUGGGCGUAAAGCGUGCGCAGGCGGUUUUGUAAGCCAGAUGUGAAAUCCCCGGGCUUAACCUGGGAAUGGCAUUUGGGACUGCAAGGCUGGAGUUUGGCAGAGGAGACUGGAAUUCCCGGUGUAGCAGUGAAAUGCGUAGAUAUCCGGAGGAACACCGGUGGCGAAAGCGGCUCACUGGACCGAAUCUGACACUGAGGUGCGAAAGCUAGGGUAGCAAACGGG